Molecule: transfer RNA, 75 nt
Filed under: Verrucomicrobiota bacterium
Lineage: Bacteria; Pseudomonadati; Verrucomicrobiota
Also listed under: 3 other names
Description: Verrucomicrobia bacterium (mine drainage metagenome) tRNA-Met
Rfam family: tRNA
About the family: Transfer RNA (tRNA) molecules are approximately 80 nucleotides in length. Their secondary structure includes four short double-helical elements and three loops (D, anti-codon, and T loops).
Source: RNAcentral
GCCAGAGUAGCUCAGCGGUAGAGCAGAGGACUCAUAAGCCUUUGGUCGGGGGUUCGAUUCCCUCCUCUGGCACCA